CGCGAAUUCGCCCUUCGGGGUGCCCAGGCGCGAAAACUUUGCAAUACACGAAAGUGCGACAGGGCUAUCCCGAGUGCCAUCCGCUGAGGAAGGCUUUUACCCAGUCUAGAACGCUGGGGGAAUAAGGAGAGGGCAAGUCUGGUGUCAGCCGCCGCGGUAAUACCAGCUCUCCGAGUGGUGUGGAUGUUUAUUGGGCCUAAAGCAUCCGUAGCUGGCUAAGUUAGUCCCUUGUUAAAUCCACCGAAUUAAUCGUUGGAUUGCGGGGGAUACUGCUUGGCUAGGGGACGAGAGAGGCAGACGGUAUUUCCGGGGUAGGGGUGAAAUCCUAUAAUCCCGGGAAGACCACCAGUGGCGAAGGCUGUCUGCUAGAACGCACCCGACGGUGAGGGAUGAAAGCUGGGGGAGCGAACCGGAUUAGAUACCCGGGUAGUCCCAGCUGUAAACGAUGCAGGCUAGGUGUUUGGACGGCCACGUGCCGUUCUAGUGCCGCAGGGAAGCUGUUAAGCCUGCCGCCUGGGGAGUACGAUCGCAAGAUUGAAACUUAAAGGAAUUGGCGGGGGAGCAC
RNAcentral lists this ribosomal RNA (565 nucleotides) under uncultured archaeon. Its description in RNAcentral is "bacterial SSU rRNA". It matches the Rfam family "Archaeal small subunit ribosomal RNA", at positions 311 to 879 of the family's 1478-position model. The record is from RNAcentral.